ACGAACCGUCCAAACGUUAUUCGGAAUUACUGGGCUUAAAGGGUGCGUAGGCGGCGCGGAAAGUUGGGUGUGAAAUCCCUCGGCUCAACCGAGGAACUGCGCUCAAUACUACCGUGCUCGAGGGAGAUAGAGGUGAGCGGAACUUAGGGUGGAGCGGUGAAAUGCGUUGAUAUCCUAAGGAACACCGGUGGCGAAAGCGGCUCACUGGAUCUCUUCUGACGCUGAGGCACGAAAGCUAGGGUAGCGAACGGGAUUAGAUACCCCGGUAGUCCUAGCCGUAAACGAUGAGCACUGGAUUGAAGGGUCCUCCAUAGCCUUUCAGUCGCAACGAAAGCGUUAAGUGCUCCGCCUGGGGAGUAUGGUCGCAAGGCUG
This 373-nucleotide ribosomal RNA is filed under the name uncultured bacterium. RNAcentral describes it as "bacterial SSU rRNA". It matches the Rfam family "Bacterial small subunit ribosomal RNA", at positions 525 to 896 of the family's 1533-position model. The record is from RNAcentral.